This 253-nucleotide ribosomal RNA is filed under the name uncultured bacterium. RNAcentral's name for it is "partial 16S ribosomal RNA". It matches the Rfam family "Bacterial small subunit ribosomal RNA", at positions 524 to 776 of the family's 1533-position model. The record is from RNAcentral.
UACGUAGGGGGCGAGCGUUGUCCGGAUUUAUUGGGCGUAAAGAGCGCGUAGGCGGCCCGUUAAGUCGGAUGUGAAAACCCGUGGCUCAACCACGGGCCUGCAUCCGAUACUGGCGGGCUCGAGGCAGGCAGGGGAGAUCGGAAUUCCUGGUGUAGCGGUGAAAUGCGCAGAUAUCAGGAGGAACACCGGUGGCGAAGGCGGAUCUCUGGGCCGAUACUGACGCUGAGGAGCGAAAGCGUGGGGAGCGAACAGG